CUCUUUUUCCCCUGGUGCUCUCCUGAUAGAUGACCAAGAAAGAAGGUGGCACAGAAGCAAGCAGCUACCCAGCUGAUACCAGCAGAUAUAUUUUCAACAUGUGUAUAUUCAGAAGAACCUGGAGGAACUGGGAAAACAGAUUUUUAACAAAACAGGCUUUUAGUGUGCUACUGGACGAUGGAAUGGAAGAAGUUGCCAUACAUUGCCAAUAAAUGGAAGGAGAACAUAAUAAUGUAGACAGAAACACUGUUUAAAAGGAACCCAAGUAGACUCAAAUGGAAUAAUACAGCUCAAAAAGAUCACUGCAUCUGCUUCCAUCACCAGACAUUUGUCGCAAGCUCAGCAUCAGCCAUGCUACCCCAAGGCACCUAUCAGGAUCAGUGACAUCUUUAAUUAAUCCAGUCAAGACGAAAA
Long non-coding RNA from Lagopus muta (rock ptarmigan), 414 nucleotides. RefSeq lists it as uncharacterized. NCBI's taxonomy places the organism in Eukaryota, Metazoa, Chordata, Aves, Galliformes, Phasianidae. The transcript is spliced from 3 exons. The record is from RefSeq and is a predicted model, not a curated record.